ACGCGGUCUGGAAAGGAAAAAUGGCUACAUAUACUCCGUGGUGGCAGAUCGUGAUCGCUCUUUGUGUUCCUAUCUUUGUGAAAACAAUCAAGUUUACGGCUAAGGAUGCAUCACACAAGAAUCAAACCAAAAGCGACUCAAGGAAUGCAG
Molecule: long non-coding RNA, 150 nt
Organism: Dreissena polymorpha
Lineage: Eukaryota; Metazoa; Mollusca; Bivalvia; Myida; Dreissenidae
Exons: 3
Source: RefSeq, a predicted model, not a curated record